CUUUUCAUGGUCAAUCAUCUAAUGAGUGUGAAAUGGAACCGUUUGUAGGAAAAUGAAUGCAAGACUAUAUUCUCUAAGUUCACUCAUGAAAAUCAUGAAAAGUUCAGGGCCACAAUAAACACAAUAGAGAACUAAGUUCUACGAGAAAAUGAAGAUGCGUUAUGCAUGUUGUCUCGGUCUACAUAAAAUACCAGUUUGUUAAAGACAUCAUGUUCACCUUCUCGUAAAGUAAACCCGACAUAUAAUAACUAUGAGUGGUUCAAGGCUUAAAAAUGUCAC
RNAcentral lists this long non-coding RNA (279 nucleotides) under Brassica napus (rape). RNAcentral's name for it is "long non-coding RNA (BNAP_LNC016371)". Lineage: Eukaryota; Viridiplantae; Streptophyta; Magnoliopsida; Brassicales; Brassicaceae. The record is from RNAcentral.